UCCCUAGUAGUCCAGAGGUUAAGACUCUACACUCCCUAUGCAGAGGCCCAGGUUUGAUCCUGGUCAGGGAA
RNAcentral lists this transfer RNA (71 nucleotides) under Ovis aries (sheep). It matches the Rfam family "tRNA". Rfam says of the family: Transfer RNA (tRNA) molecules are approximately 80 nucleotides in length. The record is from Rfam by way of RNAcentral. Lineage: Eukaryota; Metazoa; Chordata; Mammalia; Artiodactyla; Bovidae.